GUCAAAAAACCGGAGUUGCCCUUUAAUGUGAUGAGUGAGCGAGCGGCCCUGUCCCAAGAUGGCCGCCAUGUGACGACGUUAGUCCCCACUGGGUUACAACACGCAUGAGCCAUCUAGGGUUUGUAUAUAUAUCUAUGUUGGCAUCCACUGCCCCCUGAGUGAC
This is a long non-coding RNA of Salarias fasciatus (jewelled blenny), 163 nucleotides long. RefSeq lists it as uncharacterized. The record is from RefSeq and is a predicted model, not a curated record. The transcript has 3 exons. Lineage: Eukaryota; Metazoa; Chordata; Actinopteri; Blenniiformes; Blenniidae.